AGGAUUCCCCUAGUAACUGCGAGUGAAGCGGGAAAAGCUCAAAUUUAAAAUCUGGCGGUCUCUGGCCGUCCGAGUUGUAGUCUGGAGAAGUGCUUUCCGCGCUGGACCGUGUAUAAGUCUCUUGGAACAGAGCGUCAUAGAGGGUGAGAAUCCCGUCUUUGACACGGACUACCAGUGCUUUGUGAUGCGCUCUCAAAGAGUCGAGUUGUUUGGGAAUGCAGCUCAAAAUGGGUGGUGAAUUCCAUCUAAAGCUAAAUAUUGGCGAGAGACCGAUAGCGAACAAGUACCGUGAGGGAAAGAUGAAAAGCACUUUGGAAAGAGAGUUAAACAGUACGUGAAAUUGCUGAAAGGGAAACGCUUGAAGUCAGUCGCGUUGUCCGGAACUCAGCCUUGCUUUUGCUUGGUGCACUUUCCGGAUGACGGGUCAGCAUCGAUUUUGACCGUCGGAAAAGGGNUGGAGUAAUGUGGCACCUCCGGGUGUGUUAUAGACUCKGGUCGCAUACGGCGGUUGGGAUCGAGGAACGCAGCGCGCCGCAAGGCAGGGGUUCGCCCACUUUCGCGCUUAGGAUGCUGGCAUAAUGGCUUUAAACGACCCGUCUUGAAACACGGACCAAGGAGUCUAACAUACCUGCAAGUGUUUGGGUGGUAAACCCGAGCGCGUAAUGAAAGUGAAAGUUGAGAUCCCUGUCGUGGGGAGCAUCGACGCCCGGACCAGACGUUCUCUGACGGAUCCGCGGUAGAGCAUGUAUGUUGGGACCCGAAAGAUGGUGAACUAUGCCUGAAUAGGGUGAAGCCAGAGGAAACUCUGGUGGAGGCUCGUAGCGAUUCUGACGUGCAAAUCGAUCGUCAAAUUUGGGUAUAGGGGCGAAAGACUAAUCGAACCAU
RNAcentral lists this ribosomal RNA (885 nucleotides) under Ganoderma adspersum. RNAcentral describes it as "partial large subunit ribosomal RNA". It matches the Rfam family "Eukaryotic large subunit ribosomal RNA", at positions 71 to 943 of the family's 3401-position model. Lineage: Eukaryota; Fungi; Basidiomycota; Agaricomycetes; Polyporales; Polyporaceae. The record is from RNAcentral.